UCGAGCGAUACUUACACGGUAGCAUCUCUUGCCAGAGGCGGACCGGUGAGUAAUGCCUAGGAAUCUGCCUGGUAGUGGGGGAUACGCUCGGAAACGGACGCUAAUACCGCAUACGUCCUACUGGAGAAAGCAGGGGACCUUCGGGCCUUGCGCUAUCAGAUGACCCUAGGUCGGAUUAGCUAGUUGGUGAGGUAAUGGUUCACCAAGGCUACUAUCCGUAACUGGUCUGAAAAGAUGAUCAGUCACACUGGAACUGACACACGGUCCAAACUCCUACGGGAGGCAACAGUGGGAGAUAUUGGCAAAUGGGCGAAAGCCUGAUCCAACCAUGCCACGUGUGUAAAAAAGGUCUUCGCAUUGAAAAGCACUUUAAUUUGGGAGGAAAGGCCAUUAAAUUAAAACUUUGCAGUUUUGACGUUACCGACAGAAUAAGCACCGGCUAACUCUGUGCCAGCAGCCGCGGUAAUACAGAGGGUGCAAGCGUUAAUCGGAUUUACUGGGCCAAAAACCGCGCCCAGGCGGGUUUGUUAAAAAAGAAGUGAAAUCCCCGGGCUCAACCUGGGAAACUGCUUUCAAAACUGACAACCUAAAAUAUGGGAAAAGGGGGGGGGAAUUUCCUGGGUAACCGGGAAAAUGCCUUAAUUUAGGAAGGAACCCCCCGUGGGGGAAAGGCAACCCCCCGGAACUGAUUCUGCCCUUGGGGGGGGAAGUGGGGGGGCCCAACCAGGUUGGUUCCCCUGGUAGUUCCCCCCCGUAAACGAUGUCAAUUAGCCGUUGGGAGCCUGAAGUUUUUAGUGGCGCAGGUAACGCCUUAAUUUGCCCCCCUGGGGAGUACGGCCGCAAGGUUAAACUUAAAUGAUUGGGGGGGGCCCCCACAAGCGGUGGAGCAUGUGGUUAAUUUGAAGCAACGGGAAGAACCUUCUCAGGCCUUGACAUCCAAUGAACUUUCCAGAGAUGGAUGGGUGCCUUCGGGAACAUUGAGACAAGUGCUGCAUGGCGGUCGUCAGCUCGUGUCGCUAGAUGUUGGGUUAAGUCCCGUAACGAGCGCAACCCUUGUCCUUUGUGACCAGCACGUAACGGUGGGCACUAUAAGGAGACUGCCGGUGACAAACCGGAGGAAGGUGGGGAAGACGUCAAGUCAUCAUGGCCCUUACGGCCUGGGCUACACACGUGCUACAAUGGUCGGUACAGAGGGUUGCCAAGCCGCGAGGUGGAGAUAAUCCCACAAAACCGAUAGUAGUCCGGAUCGCAGUGUGCAACUCGACUGCGUGAAGUCGGAAUCGCUAGUAAUCGCGAAUCAGAAUGUCGCGGUGAAUACGUUCCCGGGCCUUGUCACACCGCCCGUCACUCCAUGGGAGUGGAUUGCUCCAGAAGUAGCUAGUCUAACCUUCGGGAGG
This 1397-nucleotide ribosomal RNA is filed under the name bacterium TLCL12. RNAcentral describes it as "16S ribosomal RNA". It matches the Rfam family "Bacterial small subunit ribosomal RNA". The record is from RNAcentral.